Molecule: long non-coding RNA, 4441 nt
Filed under: Brassica napus (rape)
Lineage: Eukaryota; Viridiplantae; Streptophyta; Magnoliopsida; Brassicales; Brassicaceae
Description: long non-coding RNA (BNAP_LNC023763)
Source: RNAcentral
UCCAUUUUUCAUAUAAAUUGGACGAUACAGCCAAUCAUUUACUUUCAUAAAAAACUAUCUUAAGAAAACCAAUUCUUCUCUUGUUGCAUAAUUCCCUUCCCCACAUCAUGUCUACGAAGAGUGUAUUUUUUCUCCUAUCGGUUAUAUGCUUUACAAAUUCUGUGAAUGCUCAAUUACCUUCGUUUUGGCCUAACGUGACCCAAUGCCUAUCAACAUUGAAAAAUAUUCCGGGAUGUUUUGAAGGGAUCACUCAGUCUAUAUUGACUGGUAAAAUUGGUACGAUAACUCCUUAUUGUUGUCAACUUUUUUUGGGAGCUGUACCCGACUGUUUAGAACUACUUCCUGUCAAUCCUUUUCCUCCUAUGUUAAUGCAGAAAUGCUCCCAUAAUAUUUAAGAUUAUAUUUUAAAAUAGUUAUGUAAAAUUACAUUUUCUACAUAAGGGUUAAAUCCAAUAAUAUUCAAGAACAAAAAGAAGAUCUGAUAAUUCUAAUGUUCCUUUCUUAUAUUUUAGUGUCUGUAGCUUUCAUAUAAUAAUGCUUAUUAUUAUUUGAUUAAGAGAAUAUCCUUUUAAUAUCAAAAAUAUAUAUCAAUGAAGUUUAAGAAUAUGAUAAAUAUAAUUCCAAAGACAUGUCACUGAGGUUGGUUAAUGAAUGAAUCAUUUGUCUUUCUUUUCCAAAGUUGGUUAAUGAAUGAAUCAUUUGUCUUUCUUUUCCAACUUCAGUUUUCUAAUAACAUGACAAAAAAAAUUGACAACGAUUAAAAGUAGAGAAAAUAAAAGAGAAACUAGAUAGAUACGUUUUUUUUAACUUCAGUUUUCUAAUAACAUGACAAAAAAAAUUGACAAUGAUUAAAAGUAGAGAAAAUAAAAGAGAAACUAGAUAGAUACGUUUUUUUCUAACGCUGAUUUAUUAUGAUAUUACAAUUAUAAUAUAAGAAAGAUUACAUAGACGAUUCGACAACCGAUGAUAUUACCUGCUUCAUGAGUACUUACGCAUAACUGCAUCACCUGAGCCACCUAUGAAAAUCCACGUCUGACCAGAUUUAGUUGCACCAUGUUGAAGAUCAUUUGUAAGCAUUUCUUCCGUAGUCUGCAUAAUUAUUUAAUAAAUCGCUCUCUCCGGAACUUGAAACCUGGAUUUCAUGUAAUCAGUGAAAAAAAUGUAUAGUCAGGGAUUAGAUCCCCAGACCUAGAUGUAGAAACUUUUAAACUUUAACCAGUAGGCUACGGUGUUUCCACGAUAGAUGGAUCUAACACAAGUAUUUUUGUCACACUCUUUGUGUAGUUGCGAUAUAGCUGGCGGAGAUUGCCACACCCAGUAGAAGACAAACUUCAAAAUCGCUCAUCACACCUAUUUGGUCCAUAAGUUUCCGAUAGCAAGUCUAAUUUUUCAUCUAUAAUACCGCAAACACAUCCAUUAUACUUACCAAAUUAUACAAAAUUUACUUGACUGAUAUGAAUAUAUAUCUCGCAAGCACAAAAAGCCAGCAACAUACAUUUCAAGGAAACAUAAACUUCGUAGUUUGUGGGAGUAAAGGCAUCUAUGUUGUAAUAAAAAACCUAACCACAAUCAGAGCCGGACCUGAGAUUACGAGACUCAUCUAAAAAAAUACAAUUUUAUUUUUAAUAUGAAGACAUAAAUUUUAUAUUAAUUGAUAUAAAGAUGUCUAUUCAUUAGGUCAAUCACAAAUUUUAAUUUUUUUUAUUACAACUAAUUUUAACCGAACAUCACCAAAUUUCUUCAAAAUUACAAUAAUAAUAUCCACUAAGCAUUAUUUGAGAAGUAAUUUGACACAUAUUCUUUCUACAAUUAUUUUCAUAAAAGAAAUGUGACAUGACUAUUAAAAUUGAUGACAAGGCUUAUUGCUAAAUAUGACAUUAUAAAUUACAUUAAUUAUUGAUUUAUAUUUUUAGUAAAUCUUUUAUAAUAUAUAUGAUAAUAACUCAUACAUUAGAUUUAAUGUUGAUUUAUAUUUUUGGUAAUUUUUUUAGAAUAUGACAAUAACUCAUACUUUUUUGUCAACAAUAAUAACUCAUACAUCAUUACUAAAAUAAAUAUAUUCAAAUAUGAAAUUAUAAUUUUUGAAAUAUUAUUCAAUUAUAUAUUUUAUAAUUUCUACAAUUUUGCUUAAAACAUUAUAAAUUUUAAUCAUUAAAUCAUUAGUUUCCUUAUAUAUUUAGAAAUUUUAGAAAUGCUGUUUAAUUUUAAUUUUUGAUAAUUAUACAAUUUUAUAUCAAUUUUUUUAUUAAUUUUAUGCAAGUUGAUUUAAUAUAUUUAACCAAAAGAAAUAGAUAAAAAAAUCUAUCUAAGAUUAUAUAUAUAUAUAUAUAUGCAUUCUUAAAUAUAAUUUAAAAAUAAUAAAUUAUUUUUAAAUCUAUUUCAUGUUUAAUUAAAUCAAAUUUACAUUAAAAUAUUGAUAAGAAAAUAAUAAAAUUUACAUUAUUAAUAAAAUUUUAUUUUUAAAUAUAAUUUCAAUUUAAAUUUUUUAUUGAUGCACAUGGUGCAUGAAAACACUUACUAUAAUAAUACAUUUGCUAAAUAAAUUUAACUCUUAUCUUCCAAAAAGAAAACAAAUCUAAGUUAUUAUUAUGAUCAAACAGAAAUUCUUACACUCACAUAUCACAUUCACACAGGUUCAAAGAGAAGAAAAAAAAAGGAUUCAAAAGAAAAAAGCAAUGCAUGAGUCAUAUACAUAUUUAAAAUAUUAAUUAUGUAAGUUAUAAUUCAUGCUUAUUAUAUGAUAUUGACAUUAAAAAAUAUUUGGAUUCACUUUAAGUUCUAUUUUAAGGCAAUACUCUACGCGGUAGUUAUUAACUAAUAAAAUCAUGGUAACGUACCACAGUGCGGAUAGGUAGCAAAAGUUAUAAAGCUUAUCCACUGUGGAAAAUUCUGAGUUUCUUCUGUUUCUUUGAUUAAGGAGAUCUCUAUGCAACUUUUCCUCAAAUUAUUAAUUUAUACAUUUUGUUUUUUGAAAAAAUGUUAAAUUAAUUCAAACAAAAAAUACUGUUUACAAUCAAGGUUGCUUGUUUUAAGUUCAAAAGAAACUAAAACUUUGCUUUACAUUAGAAAAUAAGAUCAUGUAAAGGAGAACCAAGUUCCCAUAGCAUAGAUCCCUGGUAAGCUGAGUUGUGGCGACAUAUGAUGCUUGAGAUACGAUUUUGAACUUGUUUGUCGAUGAUUUUUAAUUUAUGAAAUUACAUCACAUGUGAACAUAUAAAGUGAAUUUCAGCUAUUCGGAUAUGGACAUAUCUAUAUAUAUCUCUUAGAAUAUAUUCUCACUAAUUUGCAUAUAUCUUAUAAAUCUAGUUUAGGAAUGAAAACCUUGUAUAAAGAGAAUGUCUUGGACCUAAAGAUUGAUACAGAAAACCUUUUACGAUACUCUUGUUUUCUGACAUAGCAUCAGAGCCAGGUUUUCUGACAUGGUAUCUUGUUAAAAUUUACACAAUUAAAAUAAGUACAUGAACCCAAACCUGAACUGAACCUGCAAUGAUCCAAACCAUAUUCAAACCGAAAUUUGUAAAUAUUUAAAUCAUAUUUAAAUUUCUAACUAUAAAAAACUGAUAUCUGAAUAGAUUAACUAAAUUCGAAUAGAUAUCUGAUUCUAGAAAAAAAUAUCAACAAAUCUCUUAUUACAAGCAAAGUAAAUAAUUUAAUCAAUUAUUUUAUUCUGCGCACAACGCGGAUUACUAUCUAGUUUAUAAGAAAAAUGGUGAAGAGAUUCUAAACAUAAAGCGUGCAAAAAAAACUUAUAUGAGUAUUAUGAUAAAGAUUUCUUAACACAUUUGUGCAUGGUCAAUACUGAAUAGUAUAGAUUGUUUCUAUUAUUAUAUCAAUCUCGCAUGUGGUCAAUUAGUAUAUUUUCUUUCCUAUUAUUAUUGUAUCGAUAUUAUAUGUGUCAAUAGUAUAUAUUCUCUUUCCUAUUAUCAUUGUUUUUAUUAAUUGUAUCAUACUCCAUUUUUCAUAUAAAUUGGACGAUACAGCCAAUCAUUUACUUUCAUAAAAAACUAUCUUAAGAAAACCAAGUCUUCUCUUGUUGCAUAAUUCCCUUCCCCACAUCAUGUCUAUGAAGAGUGUAUUUUUUCUCCUAUCGGUUAUAUGCUUUGCAAAUUCUGUGAAUGCUCAAUUACCUUCGUUUUGGCCUAACGUGACCCAAUGCCUAUCAACAUUGAAAAAUAUUUCGGGAUGUUUUGAAGGGAUCACUCAGUCUAUAUUGACUGGUAAAAUUGGUACGAUAACUCCUUAUUGUUGUAGACUUUUUUUGGGAGCUGUACCCGACUGUUUAGAACUACUUCCUGUCAAUCCUUUUCCUCCUAUGUUAAUGCAGAAAUGCUCCCAUAAUAUUUAAGAUUAUAUUUUAAAAUAGUUAUGUAAAAUUACAUUUUCUACAUAAAGGUUAAAUCCAAUAAUAUUCAAGAACAAAAGGAAGAUCUGAUAAUUCUAA